This 253-nucleotide ribosomal RNA is filed under the name uncultured bacterium. Its description in RNAcentral is "partial 16S ribosomal RNA". It matches the Rfam family "Bacterial small subunit ribosomal RNA", at positions 524 to 776 of the family's 1533-position model. The record is from RNAcentral.
AACGUAGGAGACAAACGUUAUCCGGAGUUACUGGGCGUAAAGGGCGUGUAGGCGGUUUGUUAAGUUUGGCGUGAAAGCUCUCGGCUAAACCGGGAGAGGUCGUUGGAUACUGGCAAACUAGAGGACGGUAGAGGCGUGUGGAAUUCCUGGUGUAGCGGUGAAAUGCGCAGAUAUCAGGAGGAACACCGGUGGCGAAGGCGGUUCUCUGGGCAUGAUCUGACGCUGAGGAGCGAAAGUGUGGGGAGCGAACAGG